Molecule: ribosomal RNA, 376 nt
Filed under: uncultured bacterium
Lineage: Bacteria
Description: bacterial SSU rRNA
Rfam family: Bacterial small subunit ribosomal RNA
Source: RNAcentral
AUGGGGGAUAACGUAGCGAAAGUUACGCUAAUACCGCAUACGACCUGAGGGUGAAAGCAGGGGAUCGCAAGACCUUGCGUUAUACGAGCGGCCGAUGUUUGAUUAGCUAGUUGGUGAGGUAAAGGCUCCCCAAGGCGACGAUCAGUAGCGGGUUUGAGAGGAUGAUCCGCCACCCUGGGACUGAGACCCGGCCCCGACUCCUUCGGGAGGCAGCAGUGGGGAAUUUUGGACAAUGGGGGAAACCCUGAUCCAGCCCUGCCGCGUGAGUGAAGAAGGCCUUCGGGUUGUAAAGCUUUUUUGGCCGGGAAGAAAUCGCACCGGCUAAUACUUUGUGUGGAUGACGGUAAAGGCAUAAGAAGCCCCGGCUAACUACGUG